GCGUGUGUUAAAUCGUGCGACGUGACGUGUGUACGUGUCGCGUGGUGUCUCGCGAGAUAAUAUACCGAUGAAUUUAAUGUUCGAGAAGAUCUGAUGGGAUUAGCUAUUGGUGCUCAUGAUGCAAAUAUUCAACAAGCGUGAAAAGUUGAUGACAUUACAAAUAUAGUUAGAAGAAAAUUCAUGCACAUUUAAGAUAUAUAGAGAGACGCAUGAAGCUGUUAAGAAAGACCGAUCUAUGCAGGAAUAAAGCAGUAACCUAAAAAUAGAUAGUGACAGUGUGACAGUCGUGACCAUCGCCACGUGAUAGAUGAUAGUG
Long non-coding RNA from Temnothorax curvispinosus, 316 nucleotides. RefSeq lists it as uncharacterized. Lineage: Eukaryota; Metazoa; Arthropoda; Insecta; Hymenoptera; Formicidae. The transcript is spliced from 3 exons. The record is from RefSeq and is a predicted model, not a curated record.